AAAAUGCGAUACUUGGUGUGAAUUGCAGAAUCCCGUGAACCAUCGAGUUUUUGAACGCAAGUUGCGCCCGAAGCCAUCCGGCUGAGGGCACGCCUGCCUGGGCGUCACGCAUCGCGUCGCUCCCCACCUUACCUCCCCAACGGGUUGGCAUGGUGUUGGGGGCGGAUAAUGGCCUCCCGUGCUUGUGUUUCGGUUGGCCUAAAUAAGAGUUCCCUUCGGCGGACACACGACUAGUGGUGGUUGAAUAGACCCUCGUCUUUUGUUGCGUGUCGUGAGCUGUAAGGGUAGCCCUCAUCAAAGACCCCAUUGUAUCGUCUUCGGAUGAUGCUUCGACCGCGACCCCAGGUCAGGCGGGACUACCCGCUGAGUUUAAGC
This 375-nucleotide unclassified non-coding RNA is filed under the name plant metagenome. RNAcentral's name for it is "partial contains 5.8S ribosomal RNA, internal transcribed spacer 2, and large subunit ribosomal RNA". The stretch from base 1 to 107 matches the Rfam family "5.8S ribosomal RNA", at positions 50 to 154 of the family's 154-position model. The record is from RNAcentral.